ACGCUGGCGGCGUGCUUAACACAUGCAAGUCGAACGAGGAUACGUUGGAAGGGUUGGCCUGGAAGGCGUAAUUCGAGUGGCGGACGGGUGAGUAACGCGUGAACAAUCUGUCCCGGACAGGGGAAUAACACUUGGAAACAGGUGCUAAUACCGCAUAAGACCACGCCCUCGCAUGGGGGAGGGGUAAAAGGAGGAAUCCGGUUCGGGGUGAGUUCGCGUCCGAUUAGAUAGUUGGUGAGGUAACGGCCCACCAAGUCGACGAUCGGUAGCCGACCUGAGAGGGUGAUCGGCCACAUUGGAACUGAGAGACGGUCCAAACUCCUACGGGAGGCAGCAGUGGGGAAUAUUGGGCAAUGGGCGAAAGCCCUGACCCAGCAACGCCGCGUGAGUGAAGAAGGCUUUCGGGUUGUAAAGCUCUGUUAUAGGGGACGAAGGAAGUGACGGUACCCUAUAAGGAAGCCCCGGCUAACUACGUGCCAGCCGCUGC
Molecule: ribosomal RNA, 487 nt
Filed under: uncultured bacterium
Lineage: Bacteria
Description: bacterial SSU rRNA
Rfam family: Bacterial small subunit ribosomal RNA
Source: RNAcentral